AACAACAACAACAACACCACCACCCCUUAUGCCACUGAACUUUCUCAUCUUUUUUGUUGGAAGAAGCCAACAAAAAAUGUUAGUAGCCAACAAAGAAGCAACACAGAAAUGACUGGUCAUGUUCAUGAUCAAGAUCAAGAUUUGGAGUUAGGGAAUAGCAAAGAUUUGUUGCUAAAAGGAUAUGGUGAAGAUAGUGUAGAAUCAGAGUUAAUGAGGCUACACAAUCUAUGUGGACCUCCUAGAUUUCUCUUCACAAUUAAAGAAGAAACAAAAGAGGAUUUAGAAUCAGAAGAUGGUAAAUCUAGAAGUAGAAACAAAAGCUUUAGUGAUCUUAUCCUUACACCUUUGUCAUCACCACCAAUUAAGACUCAAAAUCUUGAUUCUUACAAUUGUCAAGGAUUCAAUCCACUCUUUGAAUCAUCAAAUGAGUUGAACAAACUCAAAUCUUCACCCCCUCCAAAGUUCAAGUUCCUUAGAGAUGCUGAGGAGAAGCUUAUAAGAAGAUUAAUAGAAUUAGAAGCA
This 522-nucleotide unclassified non-coding RNA is filed under the name Hevea brasiliensis (rubber tree). The record is from RNAcentral. Lineage: Eukaryota; Viridiplantae; Streptophyta; Magnoliopsida; Malpighiales; Euphorbiaceae.